Molecule: ribosomal RNA, 746 nt
Filed under: uncultured Glomerales
Lineage: Eukaryota; Fungi; Glomeromycota; Glomeromycetes; Glomerales; Glomeraceae
Description: LSU rRNA
Rfam family: Eukaryotic large subunit ribosomal RNA
Source: RNAcentral
GCAUAUCAAUAAGCGGAGGAAAAGAAAAUAACAAUGAUUCCCUUAGUAACGGCGAGUGAAGGGGGAUAAGCUCAAAUUUUAAAUCUACCAGGUUAACCUGGUCGAGUUGUAAUUUGAAGAAGCGUUUUCCGCGUUCGGGUCGGCCCAAAUCCUUUGGGAUAAGGUAUCAUGGAGGGUGAGAAUCCCGUUCGGCUGACCUUAGGAUGCUUUACGAUACGCUCUCAAAGAGUCGAGUUGUUUGGGAUUGCAGCUCAAAAUGGGAGGUAAAUUUCUCCUAAGGCUAAAUACCGGCGAGAGACCGAUAGCGAACAAGUACCGUGAGGGAAAGAUGAAAAGAACUUUGAAAAGAGAGUUAAAUAGUACGUGAAAUUGUUGAAAGGGAAACGAUUGAAGUCAGUCGUACCGGCGGGAAAUCAGCUUCUCGAGUGGGGGUUCGCGGGUGCGUGGAGCUUCGGCCUUCGUCGCUUGUGACACCUUUUGCUUCUGGAGCGUACUUUUCCGUGUGGUAGGUCAACAUCGGUUUCGAUUGCCAUAAAAUGACCGGAGGAAUGUGGCUUCGAUCUUGUAUUGGAGUGUUAUAGCCUCUGGUAGAUGUGGUGGUUGGGAUCGAGGAUUGCAACGAAUACCCUUUGGGCUAUCCGCCUGACCUCUGAAAGUCGCUUGGGUACCGAAAGCUUGCUUACGGUCAUUCAAGUUGGCGGUCAAAAGGUUAGAACGCGAUUAAAUUCGUUAAGGAUGUUGACGUA